GGGCACCAUUGCACUUAGCUCCACAGAGGGGGAACGUGUUAAUCCUAGAAACACGACCAGAUCUUUGCGUAUAAUUCGUACAAAAGACUGGGUUGUUGAUACCUCGUCGCAUGUUGAUAAGCUGUUAUGUGCAACUUAUCCCCAUCUUUGCUUGCAUCCAAGCAGAAAAGUGAGACGAGGACUCCUGGUGGCAAUACAGGGACUCUUAUCAAAAAGC
RNAcentral lists this unclassified non-coding RNA (217 nucleotides) under Hevea brasiliensis (rubber tree). Lineage: Eukaryota; Viridiplantae; Streptophyta; Magnoliopsida; Malpighiales; Euphorbiaceae. The record is from RNAcentral.